GAAAUGCGAUAAGUAGUGUAAAUUGCAGAAUUUAGUGAAUCAUCGAAUCUUUAAACGCACAUUGCGCCCUUUAGUAUUCCUUAGGGCAUGCCUGUUCGAGCGUCAUCUAAACCCUUAAGCCUAGCUUAGUGUUGGGUGCCUGUCCCGCCCCCGUGCGCGGACUCACCUUAAAUCUAUUAGCGGCCCUCGUGCUAGCCCUAAGCGCAGCAGAAACGCAGUCUUGUAGCCCGGCGGAGCGUGCCCCUAGAAGCAACACUUACCGUUUUAACCUUAGAUCAGGUAGGGAUACCCGCUAAACUUAA
RNAcentral lists this unclassified non-coding RNA (302 nucleotides) under uncultured Ascomycota. RNAcentral's name for it is "sequence contains ITS1". The stretch from base 1 to 105 matches the Rfam family "5.8S ribosomal RNA", at positions 50 to 154 of the family's 154-position model. Lineage: Eukaryota; Fungi; Ascomycota. The record is from RNAcentral.